This 254-nucleotide small RNA is filed under the name Castor canadensis (American beaver). RNAcentral's name for it is "7SK RNA (ENSCCNG00000018018.1)". The stretch from base 1 to 184 matches the Rfam family "7SK RNA". From Rfam's summary of the family: 7SK was discovered as an abundant small nuclear RNA in the mid-70s but a possible function has only recently been suggested. Two independent studies have found that 7SK RNA binds the CDK9/cyclin T complex (known as elongation factor P-TEFb). Lineage: Eukaryota; Metazoa; Chordata; Mammalia; Rodentia; Castoridae. The record is from RNAcentral.
GGAUAUAAGGGUGAUCUGGUUGGGACAUUUGUCACCCCAUUGAUGGCCAGGGUUGAUUCAGCUGAUCUGGCUAGCUAGGCAGGUGUCCCCUUCCUCCCUCACCACUCCAUGUGCCCCUCCCAAAGCCCAAACCAGCUCUCAAUGGUUAAUUUACCCAACUCGAGACAGUAUUUUCUACUUGCUUUCUAUGCCACUACUUUCUGACAAACAAGCCCAAAACAGGCUCACAAGAUGAGAAUCCAACAACUGCUUUU